This is a long non-coding RNA of Syngnathus acus (greater pipefish), 1435 nucleotides long. RefSeq lists it as uncharacterized. The record is from RefSeq and is a predicted model, not a curated record. The transcript is spliced from 4 exons. NCBI's taxonomy places the organism in Eukaryota, Metazoa, Chordata, Actinopteri, Syngnathiformes, Syngnathidae.
GGAGCCAUCUGUGCUGGACAUGUAUCCUCGUGGGCAGGUGCACACGUAACUUCCAGCCGUGUUGGUGCACUCGCCUCCAUCGCACACGCCGGGGAAAACAUGGAUGCCUUCGGGCUACAUUCUACCAAGCAGACCAGAAGUCAGCAAUAAGUAGAUCCUACUGCAUCCAGCAGUCACUAAGGAAUUUACACCAGGAGGGAAGACGACUUGAGUAGUUAAAAAAAAAAACGGGAGAAGGCAUUGACAUUGAUCAUUACCAAAGAAGCACCGCUCGAUUUCAAAAAUCUUGAUGAUCCCUACUAUGCUAAACUUUAAAAGAAUUCAUUCUCUUCAAUGCUACCUUCCGCCUUUUAUGUUGGCUUAACUGGAUGACAGCCGGUUGUCCUUUAGUCCUCACAUGUUUGCUUUCCUUUCUUUCUCCACAUUCCAGCAGUCACCCUCAUGCUUUCAAAAUCCUAAUCGCAAGUUCAACAUUAAUUUCCUCUUUCUCUCUCCACAUGUAUCGUCUUUUUUUUUCCCACCAUCUGUUUAUGUCUCUUGCUUCAACAUUUCUGGCUUGCCGAGACCUUGCAGCAGCAGAAGGGAAGUGGCCGGGCAUCUCCAGCCGACAUCACCCCCACCUCUCCUUGGUCUAAUGAGAUCUUCCGCAAAGAGUCUGCCAAGUCCAGGAAGAGUCCUCACGUGCAAAACACAAAAGCUUCUUCGGUCUGGUUUAUGUCUCGUGACGACAAGGCGAUAAAUUAAAGCAAACAGCAUCAGACUGGAACUGGCUGGCUUUUUAGUUGAGUGUGCAAUUGUCUUUUUCUUUUUUGCGGUUGAGCUCAUCUCAAGGGAGAGACUAAGUCAGGUUUUCCUCUCAUGGAUGGAACACCAGCCAUGUUGAAGGCAUUGAUGUCCAAGGUCUAUUGACUUAUCUCGGGCCAAGAUGUGCAACAUGAAACACGAUGGCACGAAGAGAUAACAAAUUGUGUGGAAAAUUGUUCUGAUGUGCGCCAAAAGUGUUGGGAGCUGGAAGGGAGGAGUACAAAGAGGAGCAAACAAGCCCAUUUGGCGACAAGAGAAGAUGAUCUCACUGGCUAACUUUGCACCUCCUCCUCCUUGUGCCUUUGCAUCUUUUGCAGGUUGAGAGAGAGAAGGAGUGAGGCGGUUCACCCCAAUGACCCCGUGUGCUUGGAAAGUUGCACGUGCACAGCAAGGGGCUGUUGGGGGAUGUGCAUACGUGUUAAGGUCUUUGCUGUGGAGCACCACAAUGCACCUCUGUCUUAGAGCAAGCGUUGUCGCUCAGCUGCUCACAUCUGGGUGCUUUUUACGAGAGGCUGCGAAACACAGGAAGUCAACUUUGUGUGUGUGUGUGCGUGUGUGUGAUGGAAAACUAGCUUUAUUGCUGUUUUGCACUUUGAUUAGCACAGCACACAGAAACUGGUGACGAGGCAGA